RNAcentral lists this long non-coding RNA (1417 nucleotides) under Gouania willdenowi (blunt-snouted clingfish). RNAcentral describes it as "lncRNA (ENSGWIG00000021659.1)". Lineage: Eukaryota; Metazoa; Chordata; Actinopteri; Blenniiformes; Gobiesocidae. The record is from RNAcentral.
AUGUGUUUGGUGAGGAUGGUUACUUUUACUGCCAAGAUGAAACCACCCCUCACACACACACACACAGACACACACAGUCUUCAGAGUGAAAUCAGGAAUCCCCCCCACCCCCAUGAAGCUCCCUUCUCCUUCUACCAAUGCCCAGAGACUGACCCGAGGAUACUGUGGACAUAUGCAGAGGACAAACAAACACUGUUAAACACACAAAGAAGCCACCGACAGGUGUUGAUCGAAGGAAAAACGGAUAACCUGAUGAUGACUGACAAAUCCACCGGUUCCAGGAGAGACGCCACCAGGAAAGAAAAAGGAGUGGCUUUUAUUUUUGGGACAUGUCUGCUGGGAGCAGAAGAGCACGACGAGAAGGAAAACAAAAAAAAAAGAGGACAAAAAUACUCCGUUUUUUUCCUCCGCCGAAGGAAUGUAGAAUAUCUGAAAACUUCAUGAGACCGAGGCCGCAGUCAUCCGUCAGCACUCCAUCAAUGUGUUGCAUGAUCCUCUGCAAGUGGACUGUUCUCCUUUGAUACGAUCAUCCUUGUAUCAGUGCACCGUUUGGAUUUAUCCUUUUUUUUUUUUUGCAAACACUAAAAUUGUGGGACAGCGAUUCUGUCUUUGAAAACUGCUUUUAUGACUCAAAAUUUUGUACAGGUUUUCAUGGCUGCAUUUCAACAUGUUUACUUUUUUUGUGCCUCUUCACCUUUUGGAUAAGCCAAAGUAGACUGCAGUUACUUUCGUUGGUUUUGUUGGACUUUUUUGUUGAAAUAUAUUCAUUUUUUUUUUUAUUUGAUCUCAAAACAGUAUUUAAGUCUCGGCAGUCCGUCCACUUUGCUGCACUCGAUCGAUCCACUUUUGUGGAUACGUUAUUCGCAGCUAAAUGUUUUAAAAAAGACUUUGUGUUGGCUUCCUCCUGGACUCUUUUGCUUUAUGAAAGGCUGAAUAAUGUACCAAAAGUAUAGUUUCAGUUUUUUCAGCCCCUGAAACAGCUGCUAAUUUAAGGCAACUCAAAGAUAAAUGUGCUCGUGUUACAGCACUGAAUUUACAGAUUUCGCAAGUCCCAGUUUCUCCUUUUGCAACUAACUUUAUCUUUAUAAAGAACUUCCAACAUGAGGAAAUACUCAAGCUUAUCAAACAGUUUGUGUGGAAUUCCUUACAACAAACAUUUCUCUUUUUUCAGUUAAUGCUUUAAGUUCUGCUGUUUUGUGCAUGUUAUUUGUAAAGUUUUGUUGUUACCCUGAUUUAAUACUGGCCUUUUUUUCCCUUGUCUGGUAUAGGUCUAAAAUGUUUGUGUUUUAAGAUGUUAAGUAACUUAUUUUACUUGUAAAAACAUGUUGAUAUUUAUUAUCAUUGUACAUACGUCCUUAUUUUUUAUAUGUGUAUAUAUAUACACAAAUAAAAAUAGAGAUCUAUUUGUGGCGUGACA